AAUGUACGCUUGUCUCAAAGGUUAAGCCAUGCAUGUCUAAGUACACACUUUAAUAAAGUGAAACCGCAAAAGGCUCAGUACAACAGCUGUAAUUCCUUAGAUCAUAAACUCAGUUACUUGGAUAACUGUGGAAAAUCUAGAGCUAAUACAUGCAUCAAACAGGGACCGCAAGGAACCUGUGCAAUUAUUAGACAAACCAAUGAUCUUCGGAUCGUAUAUUGGUGGAACUCUGGAUAAUUUGGCUGAUCGUAUGGUCUAGUACCGACGACAGGUCUUUCAAAUGUCUGCCCUAUCAACUAUUGAUGGUAGUAUAGAGGACUACCAUGGUUGCAACGGGUAACGGGGAAUCAGGGUUCGAUUCCGGAGAGGGAGCCUGAGAAAUGGCUACCACAUCUAAGGAAGGCAGCAGGCGCGUAAAUUACCCAAUGCCAGUUCGGCGAGGUAGUGACGAAAAAUAACAAUACAGGACUCUUUUAUGAUGUUCUGUAAUUGGAAUGAAUUAACUUUAAAUCCUUUAAUGAGGAUCAAGUGGAGGGCAAGUCUGGUGCCAGCAGCCGCGGUAAUUCCAGCUCCACUAGCGUAUAUUAAAGUUGUUGCGGUUAAAACGUUCGAAGUUGAACUUUGUCUCACACUGUGGCGUCCCCCUUACGGGUGUUUGACGGUCCAUGGCCUGUGCAGACUGUAAGUCUUGGCAAAUAUGCGUCUGACCUUGGGGUGUUAAAGCCUUUUGCGAUGGCGUAUAAUAUAAAAUUGUAUUGAACUGCCUUUUGUUAGGUGGCUUUUUGCAAGCCAAGCACAUUUUUACCUUGAACAAAUUAGAGUGAUCAAAGCAAGCUAUUAUAUGCUUGGAUAAUUAUGCAUGGAAUAAUGGAAUAAGACCCUGGUCUUUUUCUUGUUGGUUUGAAUAGACCAA
RNAcentral lists this ribosomal RNA (913 nucleotides) under Simuliidae sp. Simu_H1. RNAcentral's name for it is "SSU rRNA". It matches the Rfam family "Eukaryotic small subunit ribosomal RNA", at positions 21 to 862 of the family's 1831-position model. Lineage: Eukaryota; Metazoa; Arthropoda; Insecta; Diptera; Simuliidae. The record is from RNAcentral.